This 245-nucleotide long non-coding RNA is filed under the name Lathyrus oleraceus (garden pea). RNAcentral describes it as "Pisum sativum (pea) long non-coding RNA (PSAT_LNC032036)". Lineage: Eukaryota; Viridiplantae; Streptophyta; Magnoliopsida; Fabales; Fabaceae. The record is from RNAcentral.
GAUCCCUACUCUGUCCUCUUUGGGCAUACACAACACUUGUAUCACCCUCCUUCUUCCUCUGACCAUUCCCAAAGGGCUUCUUCGAUCCAGACGACGAAGCACUACCCUGUAUCUUUCCCAUCUUUAACCAGCUUUCUAUUCUUUCUCCGGCCACCACUAUAUCAGCAAAGUUGGUAACCGGGUAUCCAACCAUCCUCUCUGCAAACGUCCCCUGAAGGGUACCCAUGAAUAGAUCAGACAUUUCU